UCGAGUUUAUCCAACUCCCAACCCUUUGUGAACCUACCUUUAUGUUGCUUCGGCGGUGCCGCGCCGGGCUGCUCCCUCCUGGGGAGCUCCCGGGACCACGCGCCCGCCGGAGACCACAAACUCUUGAUUUUGCGAAAGCAGUAUUCUUCUGAGUGGCCGAAAGGCAAAAAACAAAUGAAUCA
RNAcentral lists this unclassified non-coding RNA (182 nucleotides) under uncultured Simplicillium. Its description in RNAcentral is "sequence contains ITS1". Lineage: Eukaryota; Fungi; Ascomycota; Sordariomycetes; Hypocreales; Cordycipitaceae. The record is from RNAcentral.